RNAcentral lists this ribosomal RNA (433 nucleotides) under uncultured bacterium. RNAcentral describes it as "partial 16S ribosomal RNA". It matches the Rfam family "Bacterial small subunit ribosomal RNA", at positions 29 to 507 of the family's 1533-position model. The record is from RNAcentral.
AACGAACGCUGGCGGCAUGCCUAACACAUGCAAGUCGAACGAGACCUUCGGGUCUAGUGGCGCACGGGUGCGUAACGCGUGGGAACCUGCCCUUAGGUUCAGAAUAACUCCCCGAAAGGGGUGCUAAUACCGGAUAAUGUCUUCGGACCAAAGAUUUAUCGCCUUUGGAUGGGCCCGCGUUGGAUUAGCUAGUUGGUAGGGUAAAAGCCUACCAAGGCGACGAUCCAUAGCUGGUCUGAGAGGAUGAUCAGCCACACUGGGACUGAGACACGGCCCAGACUCCUACGGGAGGCAGCAGUGGGGAAUAUUGGACAAUGGGCGAAAGCCUGAUCCAGCAAGGCCGCGUGAGUGAUGAAGGCCUUAGGGUUGUAAAGCUCUUUUAACCGGGAUGAUAAUGACAGUACCGGGAGAAUAAGCUCCGGCUAACUCCGUG